This 72-nucleotide transfer RNA is filed under the name Heterocephalus glaber (naked mole-rat). It matches the Rfam family "tRNA". From Rfam's summary of the family: Transfer RNA (tRNA) molecules are approximately 80 nucleotides in length. The record is from Rfam by way of RNAcentral. Lineage: Eukaryota; Metazoa; Chordata; Mammalia; Rodentia; Bathyergidae.
UGGGGUGUUGCUCAGUGGUAGAGCACAUGCUUAGCACAUUCAAGAUACUGGGUUAGAUCCCCAGCACCCCCC